UACGGAGGGGGCUAGCGUUGUUCGGAAUUACUGGGCGUAAAGGGCGCGCAGGCGGCUGCUCAAGUCAGGCGUGAAAGGCCUGGGCUCAACCCGGGAACUGCGCUUGAGACUGGGCUGGCUUGAGUGCGGGAGAGGAUGGUGGAAUUCCCAGUGUAGAGGUGAAAUUCGUAGAUAUUGGGAAGAACACCGGUGGCGAAGGCGGCCAUCUGGACCGCAACUGACGCUGAGGCGCGAAAGCGUGGGGGGCAAACAGG
This 254-nucleotide ribosomal RNA is filed under the name uncultured bacterium. RNAcentral's name for it is "partial 16S ribosomal RNA". It matches the Rfam family "Bacterial small subunit ribosomal RNA", at positions 524 to 776 of the family's 1533-position model. The record is from RNAcentral.